Molecule: ribosomal RNA, 456 nt
Filed under: uncultured bacterium
Lineage: Bacteria
Description: bacterial SSU rRNA
Rfam family: Bacterial small subunit ribosomal RNA
Source: RNAcentral
GCACAAGCGGUGGAGCAUGUGGUUUAAUUCGACGCAACGCGAAGAACCUUACCUGGGCUCGAAAUGUAGUGGACCGGGGUAGAAAUAUCCCUUUCUAGCAAUAGACUGCUAUAUAGGUGCUGCAUGGCUGUCGUCAGCUCGUGUCGUGAGAUGUUGGGUUAAGUCCCGCAACGAGCGCAACCCUUAUCUUCAGUUGCUACCAUUUAGUUGAGCACUCUGACGAAACCGCCUCGGAUAACGGGGAGGAAGGUGGGGAUGACGUCAAGUCCUCAUGGCCUUUAUGUCCAGGGCUACACACGUGCUACAAUGGCCGGUACAAACCGCUGCAAACCCGCGAGGGGGAGCUAAUCGGAAAAAGCCGGCCUCAGUUCGGAUUGGAGUCUGCAACUCGACUCCAUGAAGCUGGAAUCGCUAGUAAUCGCGGAUCAGAAUGCCGCGGUGAAUACGUUCCCGGGC